AAUUAUGGUGGGGCGUACAGGGCCGACUUCGGUCGGGCCGGGUUCGGUAGUCUCCGGUAACGCCAACCCUGUACGUCUCACCACCUCU
This 88-nucleotide non-coding RNA is filed under the name Escherichia coli. RNAcentral also lists the same sequence under 2 other names. The record is from RNAcentral. Lineage: Bacteria; Pseudomonadati; Pseudomonadota; Gammaproteobacteria; Enterobacterales; Enterobacteriaceae.